AGGAGGCAUUUGCCACAUCAACAGAGCACAGCCGUGCAACUCAGUGUGCUGCUGGUAGGUGGCAUCGUGGCUACCUUCUGGGUAUCCAGCCACACCUGCCCCGAUGAGCGGCAGCCUCUUAUAACUGUUUUGGGUUGGUCCAAGCCAGUGGUUCACAAGCCUGGCUAUACAUUAGAAUCGCCUGGGAAGGAUCUCUGAUGCCCAGAAACUCCAAUAGCAACUGGAUGGCAAUCCCUGGAGUGUGGGGUGACUCUCACGUGCAGUGGCAUUGACAGUGGCUGGUACAAACCAUCAGAGGACCCUCAUCCCUUUGCCACAAUGAUUGGUUCAGAGAUGGGUAGUGGCCUGAGGCCCACGCCAGUCAGCGUCUUAUGAGGUAUUAACAUUUGGAACAAUGGGGCUGAGUCAGAACUUCAUAUCAGGUGCAACAUCAAGUCUAUUCAUUUAUUUUAUUUUUGUUGGAGCACAGAGGGUGUUGUAGCAAAGGGAAGAAGAACACAGAUGGCAUGUUUUGCAAUAUUUGGGUAUCUUUGCAAUGGGCUCCUCCAAAAAUCAUUAAUUAUUUCAUCUUGGAGAGCUCACCUUCCAGUUUUUCAGGAUCCGGAGGCUGAAAUUAUUCAUCUUCACUCUGAACUGUUCAACUGUUUGUUUGUUCAAGUCCGUAAGAUCGGCUUUUUGUUAAAACUGCCUUCUCUUGGAUACAUCGAUGAGAAAAGGUCACACCCUCUACCCAUUGGGCAUUUGAGCACAGAGUUACAAUGCAGAUUCUCUUGGCAAGCCUCCAAUUGCGCUUUCUGGAACUUCUCUUUCCAGCCAUUCAUACAGGCUUUUCCAGAUCACAGAUGAAAACCUCUUACUUCCUUUGUCACUCCCAUAGACUAAAGCUCCUUCUUUGUGAAGAUGACUCAAGGAGGGAGAGGAGGAGAAGCCACAGCCCAUCAAUGUCUCUGGGCAUCACACCCUACUUGGCUGGGCAUUUCUGAUAGGCACAACCCUCUGGUAGCAGAAAGAGAUCGCUAGGCUAGGCUCGUACUCAGAAGUGAAGAGUGCAAAAUAACUGGAAAGAAGGUGACCCAAGCCUUCCUUCUGAUGUUAGCUUCUUAUGACCCGGAGAAGAAAGAAAGCGUGCUUGUCACAAACGCUGUCUCUAGCACAGUGCCUGCCACGUGGUAGACAUGAAUUACCUGCCCGAUGGAUGAAUAUACGGGAAGAGCAAAAGUUCGACAACUGCCAGAUUUGGUUUUAAGUACCGUUAGUGACCCAGACCUGGAAUGCGUAAGUUAUCGUCAAAGGCCAGUAUUCGCAGGGCUGGGCGCUCCCUAGCUGUACUCUGUCUGCCUGUUUGUUGCUCCACUAAGUCACUUGGACGAUAGAAGUGGUGGCCUAGCAAGUGAAAUAGCUUGUGCGAAGGCAGCUUACACAGCCCCUACUGCUCAGAUACUCAGUGAAGGACAACCCAUCACCUUCCAGACACUCUUGGUUCCAGCUGCUAGCCCACCCACGUGUGUGCGAGCUCCACCUCCUCACCACAUCGUUCUGCCGUCACACUUCAGAUUUGUCCCUCCCUCUCCCCUUUCAGAAGAUGAGCUCCUUGAAGACAAGAACCAAGUCGUACCUUGGUUUCCUCUCUCCCUGGCACAGCGAGUCCUCCCUAUGUGUCUACUGAAGGAAUUAAAACAAGGCUGUGGGGCAUGCUGGCAAAAUCGUAUUUUGAGAUCUUCCUGGUUAAACAAAAUAACUAUAAAGAUCAUCCCGUAGAGAGUUUAAGUCUGAAUUCUGCCUCCGCCUCACGGUCCUCUGGGGAAGGUGCUUAGUAACCAGGGCCCCUUUAGGUCAUCUGUGUAGCAGACAACGUGGUUCUAGGUAGCUUGCAGCUUUAGAAUUCUACGAGUUCAAGCUACUUCUCGUAAAAAAAAUUUAGCCCCUGACUAGAUUUGUUCACAAACUGAACCUGUUUGGAGGCCGCAGUAACUACAGGUGAAAGUGGAAUUUUCUAAAUCACCUCUCCCACCUCAUUCCGUGUAGAGAAGACUUGGAAUAAAAGAAAAGCUUUCUUUGGAAAGAAAUCAUGACCAAUCAUGAUUUGUCAUGAUUUCUUCCAUCCCUGCAGGAAAGCCACAGGAAAAACAGGUUUUCUCUAUAGAAACACGACUACAACAUACACCUUCAGGAAUGGCCUCACGUUUAAGUGCCUGUGAAUAAAUCAAUUCCUUUGAUUUUGCUCUAACCAAGACCCUCCCACAGCCAUGAGGCCUGUCUUCUUUCAGCCAGAGAAAACUCACAGCUUAAAGGCAGACAGAAGCCCAUUCUACUGUUCCCGGCUGUAAGUUUUGUGGUGGCCGGCCUCCAACAUGGCCUGCAGUAAUCCCUCCCCGCUGGUCUUCAUGUCUUUGUGUCAGCCUCUCCCACUGUCCCACACUGUACAGAAUUGUCUGUGUGAUCAACAGAAUACAGAGAAGCUAUGAUAUGCCACUUCCCAAACUCAGUUAUAAAAGACUAUGGCUUCAGACCUGGGCUCAUAUUCUCUCUCUCUCUUGUCCCUUGCCCUAGCGGAGGCCAGUUGCCAUGGGAUGAAGAGAUUCAGGCAAACAGUGGAGAGGCCCAUGAUAAGGCAGAAAACUGAAAUCCCUGCUAACAGCUGUGAACUGCCCCAUUUUGAGGAUGAUUUGCUACGAUAUUACUGCCACUGCAGUGUGUAAAUAUCACUGGCAGAUUGAGAGCAGAAAUAUUUUUCAAAUAACUGUGCCCGGAUCCUGUCUCUAUAAGUGUCUGUCUCUGCCCAUAGAAUACGAGCUCUACAAGGAAUUUGUUCUUUUGUCAUUUUUGUUCAUUGAAGAACCCCAAGGGCCUGGAACUUGACAGCUGGUAGACAUACAACAAAUACUUCCUGACUGAUGCUGGCUAUCAUCCCACGACUGCACUGUUCAUGAAGAUCAACCAACUCCUCAUGCUCUACUCCUUGACCACUGAGAGUCCUCGGGUUUCUUUUUCAAGAAAAUACUGAGCAGCCGGUGAAAAAUUCUACUUACCAAGUGAUUACAUUUUCUUGAAAACUUAUUCUGGCUAUGACUCAGCCUCAGGAGCUUGGUUGGUGUGAAUAUACCCUGGCUCCAGGUUCAAAGAAGCUCCACGCAGCUCUGCAGGUGGGUUCAACCCAGACACAUGGCUCUCAGUCUGCAAACAUCAUGUCUUCACUGCACAGCCUGCCCUCAUCGAGAAGGGUGUCUCCAGUCUUUCCAAGAACAUGACACAUGACAAAGUUAGGACAGGACUGUAGACUCUCCAAGCUCCCUAUUAUACAUGCCAUGGUUUAAAGAAUCAGAGUUUUCCUGAAAGAGGUAAGUUAACCUUGACUUGCCGAGUAUUUGGACAGUCACAAAAAGCCAUGGUAAGCAAUAAUUGUUCUGCUGGGACUUUACAAUAUCAAAAUCAGACAUUGAUGUCUGUCCACCCCAUGCAUUCCCCUCCCUCUGUGUGCAAGAAUUGAUUUCCACUAGUUGGAAUUCACACAAUAAAGGAAACUUUUGUUUUCAAUUCUGCUGAUGAGAGAGACAAUUAUAUGCGACCUCCUCAUUGAUUGACUGUGCUGUUUUCUUAGAUUUACUUCUUGGGAGAAUCGUUAAACAUAAGAGAAAAUGAUUUGUUUCCAUCGACUGGAUGAUGUGUCCAUCUGACAGCCCUGGUUUUUAUAUUAAAGUUAUUAUGUCAUUAAUGUAAUUUGCAGAAUCAAGAAGAAAUCACUCAGGUUCUGAUUGUAUUGCUGGUUAUGUUUUUUUCAAAUAAAUAAAAACUUUUUAAAGGAGAUAAAUCUGGUGACAACAAUAAUAGAUGAAGAGGCCAACUGCUCACUUCAUAAAUCACCACAAGCUUAAGGAAACUUGGUUACUUAAGUGCUGAGUGCUGCAAAGCUAGGUUUCUCAAAAUGUCCAUUUUCAUAUUGUGAAAUUCUUAGGAUCGCUGCUAAUUGCAAGUACUUAGGAAAGAUGACUUCCCAUUAUUAAAUUCCUUUCUCAUUCUCAUGGCUGUCUCACUGCUUAAGGUUAGUAAGUUACACGGAGCGUAGUAAAGCCGGGUUUGAUUCGGGUUUCCCCAAGUCUCCUCUGAACUUCGUGUGUUCGUGUCAGCUGGGGAGAUUGCGUGACUGUCAUUCUCAGUAACUUUUCUCUCCCCUGGCAACGACUGCCAAGAAAUUAAUUAUGACAAGCAAGGAAGCACUGAUGCCUUGUGGUCUGGCCCUGGCUGACUGCAAAACUCCAACCUCUGGGUGUUGAAAUUAAGUGAUCCUUGGAAUUUUCUAGAAAAAAAAAAUUGAUAUCGACAGGUGCAAUUUGUGGGCCCUCUUUCCCCAUUGGUUUUGAAGGGUCUUAUCUACCACUUCUAGCUACUUUUGGAGCACAGGGCUAGUCGUGCAUAUUUUUCUGACGUAUGACAGGUGCCCAAAAAAGAUCCUCUUUUCUUUUUACCAGGGAGGCCGGCCUGGUUUCAUGGGCAUGACUACCCUCCAGUUAGAAGGUCCUGGCACUUGGUUUAAUGUGCUGCAGUUGCUGUCUUGAAACUCUUAAUAAAUUUUGAACAACAGGUUAUGCAUUUUCAUCUUGCACUAGGCCUGCAAAUUAGGUAGCCUGUCCUGAGUUGAGGGCUAAUACGUGGCGUUUGUAUGUGUCAAAGUGAUCCUGUUGAUUGAAUAAGCACAGCCCAUUAGCACAAACUAACGUCUGAGUAUGGAAUGACCUCCUCUCCCAUACUGUGAAUUUCUUUUGUUUCCCCUCCUUUCCUUUUUGCAGUAAUGGAAAGAUGCUUGUGACAACUAUUCAUACCUUUAAGGAGGGAUGAGAGCUUACAUUCUGAAGACUGAGUCUUCCGACAGUGGGUACAAAAACCCUUAAGUGAA
This is a long non-coding RNA of Leopardus geoffroyi (Geoffroy's cat), 4891 nucleotides long. RefSeq lists it as uncharacterized. The transcript is spliced from 11 exons. The record is from RefSeq and is a predicted model, not a curated record. Lineage: Eukaryota; Metazoa; Chordata; Mammalia; Carnivora; Felidae.